Molecule: ribosomal RNA, 497 nt
Filed under: uncultured bacterium
Lineage: Bacteria
Description: partial 16S ribosomal RNA
Rfam family: Bacterial small subunit ribosomal RNA
Source: RNAcentral
GAUGAACGCUGGCGGCGUGCCUAAUACAUGCAAGUCGAGCGAACGGACGAGAAGCUUGCUUCUCUGAUGUUAGCGGCGGACGGGUGAGUAACACGUGGAUAACCUACCUAUAAGACUGGGAUAACUUCGGGAAACCGGAGCUAAUACCGGAUAAUAUUUUGAACCGCAUGGUUCAAAAGUGAAAGGCGGUCUUGCUGUCACUUAUAGAUGGAUCCGCGCUGCAUUAGCUAGUUGGUAAGGUAACGGCUUACCAAGGCAACGAUGCAUAGCCGACCUGAGAGGGUGAUCGGCCACACUGGAACUGAGACACGGUCCAGACUCCUACGGGAGGCAGCAGUAGGGAAUCUUCCGCAAUGGGCGAAAGCCUGACGGAGCAACGCCGCGUGAGUGAUGAAGGUCUUCGGAUCGUAAAACUCUGUUAUUAGGGAAGAACAUAUGUGUACGUAACUGUGCACAUCUUGACGGUACCUAAUCAGAAAGCCACGGCUAACUACGUG